CUUAAAUGUUAAUCAUCCUAUACAAAGGUAGAUAACUCUAUCAUUUCAUAACUGAAUAUACUGUAACUAUAAUUUAUUGUUAAAUCUUUCUCCAAAACAAUGCAAAACUUUUAUAUUACAUUGUAUUAUCAAAAUCAGUCGGUUGGUGUAUCAUAUAUUUAUUGACUAGAACAAUCCUAUUGUCUAACACAACAUUCACUUAAACAGGAAAUACACCUUGACAAAGCUACUUAAUACUGAUAAGACCAGGUUACAAAAUUGUGAAUAAUUUCCUGUUUUAAUCAAAUUAUAUACUCAAACUUUAUCAUAAUAUCAUUUAUGUGUUUAAAAAUGGUUUUUUUACAGGUUAACUUUGGUCUCAUUAAGGAAGUCUUUCAUCGAAUUGUG
Molecule: long non-coding RNA, 387 nt
Filed under: Mytilus galloprovincialis (Mediterranean mussel)
Lineage: Eukaryota; Metazoa; Mollusca; Bivalvia; Mytilida; Mytilidae
Source: RNAcentral